GGGGAAUUUUUCGCAAUGGGGGAAACCCUGACGAAGCAACGCCGCGUGGAGGAUGAAGGCCUUCGGGUCGUAAACUCCUGUCGACCGGGACGAACGUAGUCGGGUCCAAUACACCCGGCUAUCGACUGUACCGGUGGAGGAAGCCACGGCUAACUUCGUGCCAGCAGCCGCGGUAAUACGAAGGGUGCAAACGUUGCUCGGAGUCAUUGGGCGUAAAGCGCACGUAGGCGGCCUCGCAAGUCUGAUGUGAAAUCCCUCGGCUCAACCGAGGACGUGCAUCGGAAGCUGCGGGGCUUGAGUACUGAAGAGGAUCGCGGAAUUCCCGGUGUAGAGGUGAAAUUCGUAGAUAUCGGGAGGAACACCAGUGGCGAAGGCGGCGAUCUGGGCAGAUACUGACGCUGAGGUGCGAAAGCGUGGGGAGCAAA
Molecule: ribosomal RNA, 425 nt
Filed under: uncultured bacterium
Lineage: Bacteria
Description: bacterial SSU rRNA
Rfam family: Bacterial small subunit ribosomal RNA
Source: RNAcentral